Molecule: ribosomal RNA, 253 nt
Filed under: uncultured bacterium
Lineage: Bacteria
Description: partial 16S ribosomal RNA
Rfam family: Bacterial small subunit ribosomal RNA
Source: RNAcentral
UACGUAGGGGGCUAGCGUUGUCCGGAAUCAUUGGGCGUAAAGAGCGUGUAGGCGGCCCGGUAAGUCCGCUGUAAAAGUCAAAGGCUCAACCUUUGAAUGUCAGUGGAUACUGCCGGGCUAGAGUCCGGAAGAGGCGAGUGGAACUCCUGGUGUAGCGGUGGAAUGCGCAGAUAUCAGGAAGAACACCAACGGCGAAGGCAGCUCCCUGGGACGGUACUGACGCUGAGACGCGAAAGCGUGGGGAGCGAACAGG